UGGGGAAUAUUGCACAAUGGAGGGAACUCUGAUGCAGCGACGCCGCGUGAGUGAUGAAGGAAUUCGUUUCGUAAAACUCUGUUCUAUGGGAAGAAAAGGACUGUACCAUAGGAGAAAGCUCCGGCUAAAUACGUGCCAGCAGCCGCGGUAAUACGUAUGGAGCGAGCGUUGUCCGGAAUUAUUGGGCGUAAAGGGUGCGCAGGCGGCUUUACAAGUUGGAUGUGAAAUAUUGUGGCUCAACCACAAACGUGCAUCCAAAACUGCAAAGCUUGAGUUAAGGAGAGGUAAGUGGAAUUCCUGGUGUAGCGGUGGAAUGCGUAGAUAUCAGGAGGAAUACCGGUGGCGAAGGCGACUUACUGGACUUAAACUGACGCUCAGGCGCGAAAGCGUGGGGAGCAAACAGG
This 404-nucleotide ribosomal RNA is filed under the name Fusobacteriota bacterium. RNAcentral's name for it is "Fusobacteria bacterium partial 16S ribosomal RNA". It matches the Rfam family "Bacterial small subunit ribosomal RNA", at positions 355 to 776 of the family's 1533-position model. The record is from RNAcentral. Lineage: Bacteria; Fusobacteriati; Fusobacteriota.